UUGCCCUCCUCAAAAGCUGGCUCUUUGAACACUUCCUUCACCCGUAAGUAGAAGAUUCCACAGCUAAAAUUCCAGAUUCUCAUGUCGUGGCGUCAGCAUAGGGUUUUUAAUUUGUUUUCUUUUCCUGUGUGUGUAUACAGAUAUCCUACAGAUUCAGAGAAGCAGAUUCUAGCUCAGCAGACUGGUUUGUCCAGGACACAGGUCAGGCCAAUUCACAUUACUUGUUGAAUUCAACUUCACUCGAAUCAUUCAUCAAAAAGAAAAAACUUCACUCGAAUCAUUGCUUAGUAUUUAGAACAUUCAAUUGAGAAUUCUGUUUUCGUUGACAGGUUUCGAAUUGGUUUAUCAAUGCGAGAGUGAGACUAUGGAAGCCAAUGGUGGAAGAGAUUCACUCACUCGAAUCAGAGCAAAAAGCUGAUGUUGCAUCCUCGUCGUCUUUGGCGAGUAUCGCAAAUAAACGGACGAGAUUUUCUUCCGAACAGGAGGAGGAUCACCGUGGUUAUUCGUCAAGCGACGGCGUUUCUCUGGCCCUGGCUCUGCCACCC
RNAcentral lists this long non-coding RNA (545 nucleotides) under Linum usitatissimum (flax). Its description in RNAcentral is "long non-coding RNA (LUSI_LNC007970)". The record is from RNAcentral. Lineage: Eukaryota; Viridiplantae; Streptophyta; Magnoliopsida; Malpighiales; Linaceae.